Molecule: ribosomal RNA, 119 nt
Filed under: Pteropus alecto (black flying fox)
Lineage: Eukaryota; Metazoa; Chordata; Mammalia; Chiroptera; Pteropodidae
Source: RNAcentral
GUCUACAGCAAUAUCACCCUGAACAAGCCCGAUCUCUUCUGAUCUCAGAAGCUAAGCAGGGUUGGGCCUCGUUAGUACUUAGAUGGGAGACCACCUAGGAAGACCAGGUGCUGUAGGGU